AUGGACCAUAGAAUUGUGGUUCCUAGUUUAGAUGGAAGGAAGGGUGGCUUGCUUUUAGUGUGGAAGAAGGAGGUGAGGAUCUACUCCCGGGCUGCCACCCUUGAUUUCAUCGAUGUUUCUGUGGAAGAGGACAAUGGGGAUGUGUGGAGGUUAACUGGGAUUUAUGGCGAACCAAACUGGGAUUACAAGACUCGCACAUACCAGUUACUUCGAGAUCUGCACGCCCAAUCCAGAUUGCCAUGGGUUGUAAUCGGUGACUUUAAUGAGAUCCUUCUCUCCUCAGAGAAGGACGGAGGUGCGCCUCGACAACAAUCACGUCUUAAAGUCUUUCAGGAUGCAUUGUCUGAUUGCUCGCUAGAAGACUUGGGGUAUGAGGGUGAUGUUUUCACGUGGUUCUAUGGUGGACUGCGGGAAAGGCUAGACCGUGCAGUAUCAAAUGCAGAAUGGAUGAGGCUCCAUCCGCUGGCAGGCUUAUGUAACUUGGAGCUGGGGAAAUCAGAUCAUAGGCCGAUCUGUUUGGACACUAAUCACCUUGUUGGAGUG
This 543-nucleotide ribosomal RNA is filed under the name Triticum aestivum (bread wheat). RNAcentral's name for it is "partial small subunit ribosomal RNA". The record is from RNAcentral. Lineage: Eukaryota; Viridiplantae; Streptophyta; Magnoliopsida; Poales; Poaceae.